RNAcentral lists this ribosomal RNA (293 nucleotides) under uncultured bacterium. Its description in RNAcentral is "partial 16S ribosomal RNA". It matches the Rfam family "Bacterial small subunit ribosomal RNA", at positions 505 to 796 of the family's 1533-position model. The record is from RNAcentral.
GUGUCAGCAGCCGCGGUAAUACGUAGGGGGCGAGCGUUGUCCGGAUUUAUUGGGCGUAAAGAGCUCGUAGGCGGUUUGGUAAGUUGGAUGUGAAAUCUCCAGGCUCAACUUGGAGGGGUCAUUCGAUACUGCCAUGACUAGAGUUCGGUAGGGGAGUGUGGAAUUCCUGGUGGAGCGGUGAAAUGCGCAGAUAUCAGGAGGAACACCCGUAGCGAAGGCGGCACUCUGGGCCGGAACUGACGCUGAGGAGCGAAAGCGUGGGGAGCGAACAGGAUUAGAUACCCUCGUAGUCC